GACGACAAACAUCGGUUGCCAACCGACCAAGUGCUCUCACCGGGCACUCACAGCACAUCCAAAGCACGGGGCAAUGCAUGCCCACGGCCACAGGACCAGUCAUGGCUCCACACAAAGGGCCACAGCUACCAUCGCUCAGCGCAAGGCCCACCUAGGACCACCAAAAGCCUGAGACGACAAACAUCGGUUGCCAACCGACCAAGUGCUCUCACCGGGCACUCACAGCACAUCCAAAGCACGGGGCAAUGCAUGCCCACGGCCACAGGACCAAUCAUGGCUCCACACAAAGGGCCACAGCUACCAUCGCUCAGCGCAAGGCCCACCUAGGACCACCAAAAGCCUGAGACGACAAACAUCGGCUGCCAACCGACCAAGUGCUCUCACCGGGCACUCACAGCGGAGUCACCCGCAAACAAAGUUCGUACAAAAAAGAACCACGCAUGCCAGUGCAACAUCAGCAACCCACACAGGGCAAAGCUCUGACCGCAGCUGCCGCACAAGCCAUGAAGCGCACCAGCGCACCACGUAAAGCAGAAGGUAAAGUUUUCCUCCGAAUCCCUGCAGGUGUAGGCCAAAGACGUCACCCACAUUCUCCAAAGAAGCCCAAUUCCCACGCUCGUCUAGGAUCUAGAGAUAUAAGGCUCCUUCAUGAUUUAAGUUCCUUCCUGAUCAGUCAGGCGACACGUGAUAAAGCAGCUCGUCUGCGCAAUCCGAAUGUCCCCCAUAAAGAUGCCUGUCUCUUUCGCCCGAAGCCGUUGGCAACUGGGCCAAAGAAAAUAGCAGGUUUCCCUUCAAGAUGUUGUCCUGCUCCUGCGGGCCGUCAAACCACCUGGUGGACAUCUCGUCACCUUCUUGCAUUGCUGUAUCUUUAUCUCCAAUCAUCAUGGACUUAUCGAUGGUAAUCCUGUGCAAGCUUCCCAACGGUCGCAACUCCAAGGCGACGUGCGCCGACUUGUCCUCGAGACGAGAAGGUAACCAAAGAAAAUAAGCAAAUCAGUCACCGACCCGACAAGCCGGGGCUCAUAACCUACAGUAAAUAGUCGCGCCUCCAGCGCUGACUAAUGAGCCAAAACGGGGCGCAAAAGAGACAACUCCAAGUCUCAUGCAGCUCACCGUUACAAAAGGCUACAAAUUACUGUAACAGCUGGUAAACGGUCCAGUUAAGCACAAGCUGGACAAGCGAGCUGACACUAUGCCCUAACCUUAAAUGACACUCCAAGGUCCCGAAGAGCAAUAGUUGUUACAGUCAGCUGAAGAAGCUUUGCUGCUUCAGAGAACAAAUAGCACUAGGUGAUCAGGUUCGUACGGUAAGGCCCAACAAUUAAUCAGUCCAUACAAAUCCUAUCGCAACAACGAACCAUAAAAUCAUUAGAGAAAUGUUCAGGAACACAACGAUGAAGACCUACGGAAGGUUCCUUGAUAUGAGACGACCCACGGGACCCUCGGUUACGUUACGAUUGGAGAAUGCGCCAACUCCCA
Molecule: long non-coding RNA, 1479 nt
Filed under: Volvox carteri
Lineage: Eukaryota; Viridiplantae; Chlorophyta; Chlorophyceae; Chlamydomonadales; Volvocaceae
Description: long non-coding RNA (VCAR_LNC002468)
Source: RNAcentral